RNAcentral lists this ribosomal RNA (253 nucleotides) under uncultured bacterium. Its description in RNAcentral is "partial 16S ribosomal RNA". It matches the Rfam family "Bacterial small subunit ribosomal RNA", at positions 524 to 776 of the family's 1533-position model. The record is from RNAcentral.
UACGUAGGUGGCAAGCGUUGUCCGGAUUUAUUGGGCUUAAAGGGUGCGUAGGCGGUUUCUUAAGUCAGUGGUGAAAUACGGCAGCUCAACUGUCGAGGUGCCAUUGAUACUGGGAAACUUGAGUACUGAUGAGGUAGGCGGAAUGGACGGUGUAGCGGUGAAAUGCUUAGAGAUCGUCCAGAACACCGAUAGCGAAGGCAGCUUACUAAGGAGUAACUGACGCUGAGGCACGAAAGUGUGGGGAUCAAACAGG